RNAcentral lists this ribosomal RNA (247 nucleotides) under uncultured archaeon. Its description in RNAcentral is "partial 16S ribosomal RNA". It matches the Rfam family "Archaeal small subunit ribosomal RNA", at positions 691 to 939 of the family's 1478-position model. The record is from RNAcentral.
CCGACGGUGAGAGGUGAAAGCUGGGGAGCAAACCGGAUUAGAUACCCGGGUAGUCCCAGCUGUAAACGAUGCGCGUUAGGUGUGUCAGUGACCACGUGUCACUGAUGUGCCGAAGGGAAACCGUGAAACGCGCCGCCUGGGGAGUACGGUCGCAAGGCUGAAACUUAAAGGAAUUGGCGGGGAGCACCACAACGGGUGGAGCCUGCGGUUUAAUCGGACUCAACGCCGGAAAUCUCACCGGAUAAGA